GAUGAACGCUGGCGGCGUGCCUAAUACAUGCAAGUCGAGCGAACAGAUGAGGAGCUUGCUCCUCUGACGUUAGCGGCGGACGGGUGAGUAACACGUGGAUAACCUACCUAUAAGACUGGGAUAACUUCGGGAAACCGGAGCUAAUACCGGAUAAUAUAUUGAACCGCAUGGUUCAAUAGUGAAAGACGGUUUUGCUGUCACUUAUAGAUGGAUCCGCGCCGCAUUAGCUAGUUGGUAAGGUAACGGCUUACCAAGGCAACGAUGCGUAGCCGACCUGAGAGGGUGAUCGGCCACACUGGAACUGGGACACGGUCCAGAGUCCUACGGGAGGCAGCAGUAGGGAAUCUGCCGCAAUGGGCGAAAGCCUGACGGAGCAACGCCGCGUGAGUGAUGAAGGUCUUCGGAUCGUAAAACUCUGUUAUUAGGGAAGAACAAAUGUGUAAGUAACUAUGCACGUCUUGACGGUACCUAAUCAGAAAGCCACGGCUAACUACGUG
Molecule: ribosomal RNA, 497 nt
Filed under: uncultured bacterium
Lineage: Bacteria
Description: partial 16S ribosomal RNA
Rfam family: Bacterial small subunit ribosomal RNA
Source: RNAcentral